AGCUCUCUGCUCAGCUCCCUCGCCGGCUGCAGAGUGAGGCUGGGAGCCGGAAUAUGACGUCAUCUUCUGGCUCCCAGCUUCACUCUGUGGUGCGCGAGGGAGCUGAGCAGUCAGCUCAGAGG
Non-coding RNA from Pelobates cultripes (western spadefoot toad), 122 nucleotides. NCBI's taxonomy places the organism in Eukaryota, Metazoa, Chordata, Amphibia, Anura, Pelobatidae. The record is from the annotation of a GenBank genome assembly.